GCGACCCCAGGAUGAGCG
Molecule: ribosomal RNA, 18 nt
Filed under: Dendrophylax porrectus
Lineage: Eukaryota; Viridiplantae; Streptophyta; Magnoliopsida; Asparagales; Orchidaceae
Also listed under: 1 other name
Description: partial 26S ribosomal RNA
Source: RNAcentral